CCUACGGGGGGCUGCAGUGGGGAAUUUUGCGCAAUGGGCGAAAGCCUGACGCAGCAACGCCGCGUGGGUGAUGAAGGUCUUCGGAUCGUAAAACCCUGUCGUUGGGGACGAAGGUGGGGGCGUUAAUAGCGUUUCUGCUUGACGGUACCCGGAGAGGAAGCCCCGGCUCACUCUGUGCCAGCAGCCGCGGUAAUACAGAGGGGGCAAGCGUUAUGCGGAGGGCGUGGGGGCAGAUGUCGAGUUGGCGUGUGUAAGCCCCGAGCUCAACUUGGGAACUGCAUCUGAGACUGGAAGGCUAGAGUACUGGAGAGGGGGGUGGAAGUCCUCGUGUAGCGGUGAAAUGCGUAGAGAUGAGGAGGAACACCAGUGGCGAAGGCGGCCACCUGGACAGUAACUGACGCUGAGGCGCGAAAGUGUGGGUAGCAAACAGGAUUAGAUACCCCGGUAGUC
RNAcentral lists this ribosomal RNA (450 nucleotides) under uncultured bacterium. RNAcentral's name for it is "partial 16S ribosomal RNA". It matches the Rfam family "Bacterial small subunit ribosomal RNA", at positions 338 to 795 of the family's 1533-position model. The record is from RNAcentral.